Long non-coding RNA from Oreochromis aureus, 2074 nucleotides. NCBI's taxonomy places the organism in Eukaryota, Metazoa, Chordata, Actinopteri, Cichliformes, Cichlidae. The record is from Ensembl.
CAAAAACACAGCUUUAUUGCUGGUAUAGGGGGACACGAUAAACAAUACAAAACUAAACUGGGAAAACUAAAGCACAAGGAGCCACAGGGAGAAUCACACAGCUAUGAGGGAGAACGCGACACAGAACUGAGGGAGAGGCAGACAUAAAUACACAGAGGGUUAACGAGGGAAGUGGGAGCACACGGGGAACACAGGUGACACUGAUAAUCAUAACAAGACACAACAGGAGUGAACGCAACACUGAUGGGAGACUGUCAAAGUAAAACAGGAAGUGCACAGAGGUUCAGACAGGAGGAGAGAGAGCACGGGGAGAGCACAGACAUAACGGGCUGGGUAAAACAUGGAAUAAAACACAAGGAGAGACGAGGGCUCACAGAUACACAGAGGGGCACACAGGGGGUAAGAGUCACGAGGGGAAAAACACAUAAGGAAACAACGUAACAGAGCAACUCAGGAAGCAUGGCCUAAAUAAGGAACAAAAUACAUGAAAACUAAGAAUACUGGGCCAACGUGGCCCAGGACCAUGACAGAAAACUGAAGGCUCUGCCUCCCAUUCUACUUUUAAAUACUCUAGGAACAACAAGUAGGCCUGCAGAGUGAGAGCGAAGUGCUCUAAUAGGGUGAUAUGGUACUACAAGGUCAUUAAGAUAAGAUGGGGCCUGAUUAUUUAAGACCUUGUAUGUGAGGAGCAGGAUUUUGAAUUCUGGAUUUAACAGGAAGCCAAUGAAGGGAAGCCAAAACAGGAGAAAUCUGUUCUCUCUUUCUAGUCCCUGUCAGGACUCUUGCUGCAGCAUUUUGGAUCAGCUGAAGGCUUUUCAGGGAGUUUUUAGGACAUCCUGAUAAUAAUGAAUUACAGUAGUCCAGCCUGGAAGUAAUAAAUGCAUGAACUAGUUUUUCAGCGUCACUCUGAGACAGGAUAUUUCUAAUUUUAGAGAUGGAGAUGGAGAGAAAAAGGGAUUCAGUGGGGAACUGCUCAUUCACGAAGUCCGUUCCUUUCAGCUCCCCGUUACUCUUCACCUGCUCCUUCUGUUUGGCCACAACAGGACGACCCCCAACCUCUUAGCCCUGAUUCCACUCUAUUGAAACUGAUGUUCUUCACGAUGUCCUCCAGCAGCUUCAGUCUUCAGCCAACUGCCAAACCUUGCCGCGGACCAUAUUCAUUCUCCUCUGCUGCUGCUGUAUUGUUUUCCACCUGUUACUCACAGCGGGCGUUUCCUCGGUUCACCUGCCUGCCCCCCGACCAUCAAAUCUGGAUUGCAACUACCGUGUUCCUGGCUACUCACCCGGACCCUUCAGUCUUUCCCUCACGACGGCCUCCACCCACAAAACCCAUGCCCAAGACUCCCGCUUGUACUGACUGGCACUGGUGCCCAUCCUUCUAGCCUGAUUCCUGAGUUUAAAAUUGCUUUCAUGUUCCCAUUAAUGUGUCCGACCUGCGUUCAGCGGUAUCAUAGCUGAGGUUUUUGCUAUCGCCCUAGUUUUGCGGUAAUAGUGUGGCAACAUUAGUUCUGAGUUAACAUCCUCUGUUUUUGUUUCAAUUCUGUAUUAAAAUAAAGAUUUGUGAAUUAUGUCAUUUCUGUGCCUCUGUGCUGUAGUUCGCUCUGAGUUCGUCUGCCUUGUGCGGCUCCGGCCGUGACAGUAUGAGUGAAGGUUCGGUGGGGACAGUACACCAGGCUUUUUUGGUCUUUCUAGAAAUUCUCUUCUUAUGUGCACUGGCUUGUUGUUCCAUAUAAAUGCGAAGAUCAACUGAUUAAAUGUUUUGAAAAAGGAUACUGUUAUGAACACAGGCCUGAAAUAAGUAAAAAUAUUUAGGUAUUAUGUUCACUCUACCGAUGAGUGACAAUGGUAGGGCUGGCCAUUUCUUAAUAUCAAGUCUAGUCUGCUCUAGCAGUCGCACAAAACUAUUUUUAAUUCAGUAGUGGAAGGAUUUUGUAACUUUUACACCCAGAUCUGUAAAGGAAGAGGUUUAGAAUUUGUGUGAAUUUGUGUGGAUGCUGCAGUGACCCACUCAAAGAUUCAAACACUAGGGCGGAGAAGCUGCAGCUCCACGUCUUUUUUUUUUUGUGCACCAAAA